Molecule: ribosomal RNA, 461 nt
Filed under: uncultured bacterium
Lineage: Bacteria
Description: partial 16S ribosomal RNA
Rfam family: Bacterial small subunit ribosomal RNA
Source: RNAcentral
AACGAACGCUGGCGGCAGGCCUAACACAUGCAAGUCGAACGAGCUGAGACCUUCGGGUCUCGAUGCUAGUGGCGCACGGGUGAGUAACGCGUGGGAACGUACCCUUUAGUAUGGAAUAACCCAGGGAAACUUGGGCUAAUACCGUAUACGCCCUUCGGGGGAAAGAUUUAUCGCUAAAGGAUCGGCCCGCGUCUGAUUAGGUAGUUGGUGAGGUAACGGCUCACCAAGCCGACGAUCAGUAGCUGGUCUGAGAGGAUGAUCAGCCACACUGGGACCGAGACACGGCCCAGACUCCUACGGGAGGCAGCAGUGGGGAAUAUUGGACAAUGGGCGAAAGCCUGAUCCAGCCAUGCCGCGUGAGUGAAGAAGGCCUUCGGGUUGUAAAGCUCUUUCGACGGGGACGAUGAUGACGGUACCCGUAUGAGAAGCCCCGGCAAACUUCGUGCCAGCAGCCGCCGUAA